This 23-nucleotide non-coding RNA is filed under the name Arabidopsis thaliana (thale cress). Lineage: Eukaryota; Viridiplantae; Streptophyta; Magnoliopsida; Brassicales; Brassicaceae. The record is from RNAcentral.
CCUGUUGAGCUUGACUCUAGUCC